Molecule: non-coding RNA, 227 nt
Organism: Cinara cedri
Lineage: Eukaryota; Metazoa; Arthropoda; Insecta; Hemiptera; Aphididae
Source: the annotation of a GenBank genome assembly
UGCACAGAAUAACCAAACAUGCUUUUUUGUUGAAAAUCGUUAAAAUAUGCGAGAAAGAUUCAUAUUUAAACAUGAGAGCUAUGGGUCCAUGGAUUUAUGACCUGUAAUAAUUGUAUCUCGGUUAAUGGUUUGCUAUAUAAUAGAAGCCUAGCAAACGAACACUGCGAUUUCCCUGUCCUAAUUUUAACUAAACUCCGAUGGCAUCUAAGAAUAGGACCUUUAUGACC